This 411-nucleotide unclassified non-coding RNA is filed under the name Hevea brasiliensis (rubber tree). The record is from RNAcentral. Lineage: Eukaryota; Viridiplantae; Streptophyta; Magnoliopsida; Malpighiales; Euphorbiaceae.
GAGUCUUCUCCUGUUGCUGGAGGUGAAUUGGGCUACUGGAAUCCAACGUUUUCAUGGUCUGAUCUUCCAACAACUAACGGUGCAUGUCCUUAAGAACCCUUUAUUUCAUUUUUUUUUUUUUGGUUUCGUUUUUGCUUUUUAGAUUACCUUCAUAUGCUAGGGUGGUUGUGGUAUAUGGAUAAAGUCGUAGAUUCAGUUUUUUUUUUUUGCAUUUCAUUUACUUUUAAGGUUCUCAAUUAUGUAUGUGUGUUUUUGUUUGUUUGACUUGUGACAAUGUUCCAAGGACCAAAAAUGGUAGAAAUGGAAAAUAUUAGCUGCUUUAAGUGCCUCCUGUUGUCCAUUUUUAUUCAAACGGUCAAACAUUCUCUCCUACUCGUACAGAUUAUUAUGAAACUUGAGCCUUCACAGAGC